CUACGGGAUGCUCCAGUGAGGAAUAUUGCACAAUGGGGGGAACCCUGAUGCAGCAACGCCGCGUGGAGGAUGACGCAUCUCGGUGUGUAAACUCCUUUUAUAUGUCAAGAAAAUGACGGUAGCAUAUGAAUAAGCACCGGCUAACUCCGUGCCAGCAGCCGCGGUAAUACGGAGGGUGCAAGCGUUACUCGGAAUCACUGGGCGUAAAGGACGCGUAGGCGGAUUGGAAAGUCAGGUGUGAAAUCCUACAGCUUAACUGUAGAACUGCACUUGAAACUUCUAAUCUAGAGUAUGGGAGGGGGAGAUGGAAUUAGUGGUGUAGGGGUAACAUCCGUAGAUAUCACUAGGAAUACCUAAAGCGAGGGCGAUCUCCUGGAACAUUACUGACGCUAAGGCGUGAAAGCGUGGGGAGCAAACAGGAUUAGAUACCCUUGUAGUC
This 439-nucleotide ribosomal RNA is filed under the name uncultured bacterium. RNAcentral describes it as "partial 16S ribosomal RNA". It matches the Rfam family "Bacterial small subunit ribosomal RNA", at positions 339 to 795 of the family's 1533-position model. The record is from RNAcentral.